Molecule: non-coding RNA, 72 nt
Filed under: Streptococcus rubneri
Lineage: Bacteria; Bacillati; Bacillota; Bacilli; Lactobacillales; Streptococcaceae
Also listed under: 1 other name
Description: L17 ribosomal protein downstream element
Rfam family: L17 ribosomal protein downstream element
Source: RNAcentral
UGAGUGUUAUGAUGUUGGAAGGACUAAACGGUUCUUCUUAGUCUAGCUCUGGUCUGCCGCUAGGAUUUAUCC